Molecule: ribosomal RNA, 466 nt
Filed under: uncultured bacterium
Lineage: Bacteria
Description: partial 16S ribosomal RNA
Rfam family: Bacterial small subunit ribosomal RNA
Source: RNAcentral
GAUGAACGCUGGCGGCGUGCCUAACACAUGCAAGUCGAACGGAAAGGCCCUGCUUGCAUGCUAUUCGAGUGGCCAACGGGCGAGUAACAGGUGGGUGCAUCGCCCUCUACUUCUGGAUAAGGUUGGGCAACUGGGUCCAUUCCCUGAUAGCACCUACCUCCUGCGUGUGGGUGGGAAGGUUCUUUGGGUGUAGGAUGAGCUCGGGGCCUAUCAGCUUGUUGGCGGGGUAACGGCCUACCAAGGCGGCGACGGGUGGCCGGCCUGAGAGGGUGUACGGCCAGAUUAGGACUGGAAUAGGGGCCAGACUCGGACGGGAGGGAGCAGUGGGGAAUAGUGCACAAUGGGCGCAAGCCUGGUGCAACGACGCCGCGUGGGUGAUGAAGGCCUUCGGGUUGUAAACACCUUUCGCUGGGGACGAAGCUUUGUUGUGACGGUACCUAGAUAAGAAGCACCGGCUAACUACGUG